AUUGGAUUGGAUCUAUUUUAAUUGAAGUCCUAUCCAACUUGGAAGAGUUUCAAGUGUGGAAAGACUCCUCCAUGCCACUCUAGUUUCAAGCCCAAAAUUAAUUGCUGCCAACCCCUUUUUAGCAUUAAGAAGAGGAAGAGUCUUUCUUCUUUAAGACUCUUAACCACUUCUUAAUUUCCAUCGGUUCCUUAAUUGUCACG
This 200-nucleotide long non-coding RNA is filed under the name Elaeis guineensis (African oil palm). RNAcentral's name for it is "long non-coding RNA (EGUI_LNC005084)". The record is from RNAcentral. Lineage: Eukaryota; Viridiplantae; Streptophyta; Magnoliopsida; Arecales; Arecaceae.